Molecule: ribosomal RNA, 443 nt
Filed under: uncultured bacterium
Lineage: Bacteria
Description: bacterial SSU rRNA
Rfam family: Bacterial small subunit ribosomal RNA
Source: RNAcentral
AACGCGAAGAACCUUACCUGGGUUCGAAAUGCAGGUGUAAGCCUCAGAGAUGAGGUCCCCUCUUCGGAGGCACCUGUAUAGGUGCUGCAUGGCUGUCGUCAGCUCGUGUCGUGAGAUGUUGGGUUAAGUCCCGCAACGAGCGCAACCCUUGUUUGCUGUUGCCAUCAGGUAAUGCUGGGCACUCUGCAAAGACUGCCGGUGAUAAACCGGAGGAAGGUGGGGAUGACGUCAAGUCAGCAUGGCCUUUAUGUUUGGGGCUACACACGUGCUACAAUGGCCGAUACAAACCGUCGCGAGCCCGCAAGGGGGAGCUAAUCGGAGAAAGUCGGUCUCAGUUCGGAUUGUAGGCUGCAACUCGCCUGCAUGAAGUUGGAAUCGCUAGUAAUCGCGGAUCAGCACGCCGCGGUGAAUACGUUCCCGGGCCUUGUACACACCGCUACAGU